CAAGAAGAUGAGCCUGGGGCCGGAGUGAAGGUAGCUGCAGACAGCCUGGGAUGCCUGCAUGGAGCUGGCCUGGGGCACCACCCGGCCAGGGCAGCCAUGCUCUCGGGACAAAAUAGGAAGCACAUAUGUUCAGGAGAAUUGCACUCACAUCCACUUGAUGUUUGUCAGUGCCUCAACCUAAUACCCUGACCAUUUCCUCUCACUCAAACUGAAACUCUUGCCCUUACACUCAUGCUGUGGUUUUAGUUCUGCUUCCAUCAUGAUAACAGCGAGGACCCACACCAGCAGGUACCAGUGCGUGCAACAACCAUCUCUGCAAAGAGAAGAGUGUAGAGAGGGAAACGGUGCUGUGAUUCAGGAAAAACUUCAUGGAAAAGUGACCAUAGCAGCUUAGUGUAUGUGAUGUAUGAUAAUAAUGGUCCUUUACUAGCCAUAUACUAGACCAUGGGAUCCCAACACGAAGAGAAGAUAUUCAAAGAAAUAAUAAGGAAAAAUUUCCUUAACUCCUCACACCUUGCAGCAGGUGCUGACAUGGCGACCACAGCACAAGUCCUCUGGCUUUGUUUCCUGGGAUGCGUCAUCCACUCGGCCGCAGAAGCAGAGAUUCCUCCCAAUGGGACCAGCAAUCACAUCCCAGGUCGGCUCCACCUGCU
This 653-nucleotide long non-coding RNA is filed under the name Chinchilla lanigera (long-tailed chinchilla). RNAcentral's name for it is "lncRNA (ENSCLAG00000029226.1)". Lineage: Eukaryota; Metazoa; Chordata; Mammalia; Rodentia; Chinchillidae. The record is from RNAcentral.